This 516-nucleotide ribosomal RNA is filed under the name uncultured bacterium. RNAcentral's name for it is "bacterial SSU rRNA". It matches the Rfam family "Bacterial small subunit ribosomal RNA", at positions 10 to 523 of the family's 1533-position model. The record is from RNAcentral.
AGUUUGAUCCUGGCUCAGAUUGAACGCUGGCGGCAUGCCUUACACAUGCAAGUCGAACGGUAACAGGUCUUCGGAUGCUGACGAGUGGCGAACGGGUGAGUAAUACAUCGGAACGUGCCCGAUCGUGGGGGAUAACGGAGCGAAAGCUUUGCUAAUACCGCAUACGAUCUACGGAUGAAGGCAGGGGACCGCAAGGCCUUGCGCGGACGGAGCGGCCGAUGGCAGAUUAGGUAGUUGGUGGGAUAAAAGCUUACCAAGCCGACGAUCUGUAGCUGGUCUGAGAGGACGACCAGCCACACUGGGACUGAGACACGGCCCAGACUCCUACGGGAGGCAGCAGUGGGGAAUUUUGGACAAUGGGCGAAAGCCUGAUCCAGCCAUGCCGCGUGCAGGAUGAAGGCCUUCGGGUUGUAAACUGCUUUUGUACGGAACGAAAAGCCUCUUUCUAAUAAAGAGAGGUCAUGACGGUACCGUAAGAAUAAGCACCGGCUAACUACGUGCCAGCAGCCGCGGUAA